This 54-nucleotide non-coding RNA is filed under the name unclassified sequences. RNAcentral describes it as "eL15-Euryarchaeota ribosomal protein leader". It matches the Rfam family "eL15-Euryarchaeota ribosomal protein leader". The record is from RNAcentral.
CGGGAUCCGUCCCGUUGGAAUGUGGCUGCUAAAAGCAUGCGGCUGAACCGUGAA